RNAcentral lists this ribosomal RNA (374 nucleotides) under uncultured prokaryote. Its description in RNAcentral is "bacterial SSU rRNA". It matches the Rfam family "Bacterial small subunit ribosomal RNA", at positions 524 to 896 of the family's 1533-position model. The record is from RNAcentral.
UACGUAGGGUGCGAGCGUUAAUCGGAAUUACUGGGCGUAAAGCGUGCGCAGGCGGUUUGAUAAGACAGGCGUGAAAUCCCCGGGCUCAACCUGGGAACUGCGUUUGUGACUGUCUCACUAGAGUACGGCAGAGGGGGGUGGAAUUCCACGUGUAGCAGUGAAAUGCGUAGAGAUGUGGAGGAACACCAAUGGCGAAGGCAGCCCCCUGGGUCGAUACUGACGCUCAUGCACGAAAGCGUGGGUAGCAAACAGGAUUAGAUACCCUGGUAGUCCACGCCCUAAACGAUGUCAACUAGGUGUUGGGUGGGUAAAACCAUUUAGUACCGUAGCUAACGCGAGAAGUUGACCGCCUGGGGAGUACGGCCGCAAGGUUA